Fopius arisanus is the source of this 349-nucleotide long non-coding RNA. RefSeq lists it as uncharacterized. The record is from RefSeq and is a predicted model, not a curated record. The transcript is spliced from 2 exons. NCBI's taxonomy places the organism in Eukaryota, Metazoa, Arthropoda, Insecta, Hymenoptera, Braconidae.
GCAAGUAAAGCCAUCAGGACACUUCUCUCCCAAUGAUGUAAAUAUCACUGCCAAAUCCGUGAUGGGUGCCUGCAUAUGCAUGUCCUUAAGGUAAACCAGCAACAACAAAAUAAUCCGCUACUCUCCUCUCGUCCAUCAUGAUGCCCACCGGAUUUUUUUUAUACUUGAUUAAAAAUGGUUAUUUAUAAAUCUUUGAGUACAACAAGGUCAAAUGCAUCAAGCAUUUGCUGCAAAAAACACUAGAUUCUCAUGGACGUUCAAUCGUUACAAAACACUGUAAUUGUUGUUUCUCCACUGGUGGCUCUUGUUUUUUUUUUUUCAGGAGCAAUGGAAAAAUCACAGCAUUGUC